AUUGAACGCUGGCGGCAGGCCUAACACAUGCAAGUCGAGCGAGCGGCGGACGGGUGAGUAAUGUAUGGGGUUCUGCCCGAUAGAGGGGGAUAACUCCUGGAAACUGUAGCUAAUACCGCGUACCAUAGGAUGCGCCCAAGUGGGAUUAGGUAGUUGGUGAGGUAAAGGCGCACCAAGACGACGAUCUCUAGCUGGUCUGAGAGGAUGACCAGCCAAACAGGGACUGAGACAAGGGCCAGAAUCAAACGCGUGGCAGCAGUGGGGAAUAGUGCGCGAUGGGGGCAAGCUGACGCAGCCAUGACGAGGGAAUGAAGAGGGCCUUCGGGUUGUAAAGUACUUUCGGAAGCGAGGCGUUAACUACAGAAGAAGCACCGGCGAACUCCGUGCCAGCAGCCGCGGUAAUUC
RNAcentral lists this ribosomal RNA (405 nucleotides) under uncultured bacterium. Its description in RNAcentral is "partial 16S ribosomal RNA". It matches the Rfam family "Bacterial small subunit ribosomal RNA", at positions 29 to 526 of the family's 1533-position model. The record is from RNAcentral.